This is a non-coding RNA of Eumeta japonica, 73 nucleotides long. Lineage: Eukaryota; Metazoa; Arthropoda; Insecta; Lepidoptera; Psychidae. The record is from the annotation of a GenBank genome assembly.
AGCAGUGGUAGCCGAGUGGUCAAGAACUUGCCUUCGAAGCAAAAGGUACCAGAUUCGAUUCCUGGCUAUGUUC